AGAGUUUGAUCCUGGCUCAGGAUUAACGCUGGCGGUGUGCAUAACACAUGCAAGUCGAGCGCCCAGCACUCUGUUCACAAAUUUUUACUGUGUCAGAAUGGAAAAAAUCAUUCGCUGUAUUGCGUAUACAGCUCAUUGGAUUUUUCCCAUCCUUCCUUGUAAAAGAUUUGCGACCAGGGUGCUGGGAGCGGCAGACGGGUGAGUAACACGUUGGAAUCUGCCUUAGAGUCAGGGAUAAGCCUUAGAAAUAGGGUCUAAUACCGGAUGGUCCCGAAAGGGUAAAGUAGCAAUACACUCUAAGAGGAGCCUGCGGUCUAUCAGCUUGUUGGUAAGGUAAUGGCUUACCAAGGCUAUGACGGAUAGCUGGUCUGAGAGGAUGAUCAGUCACAAUGGAACUGAGACACGGUCCGUACUCCUACGGGAGGCAGCAGUGAGGAAUCUUCCGCAAUGGGCGCAAGCCUGACGGAGCAACACCGCGUGAAGGAUGACAGUCGUAAGAUUGUAAAUUUCUUUUCUGAAGGAAGAAUUCUGACGGUACUUCAGGAAUAAGCAUCGGCUAACUACGUGCCAGCAGCCGCGGUAAGACGUAGAAUGCAAGCGUUAUCCGGAAUUAUUGGGCGUAAAGAGUUCGUAGGCGGUUAGUUAAGUUGGAUGUUAAAGUUUUGAGCUCAACUCAGAAAAUGUAUCCAAAACUGGCAAACUAGAGACAGGUAGAGGCAAGUGGAAUUCUGCAUGUAGGAGUAAUAUCCGUAGAUAUGCAGAGGAACACCAAAAGCGAAGGCAGCUUGCUGGACCUGUUCUGACGCUCAAGAACGAAAGCGUGGGUAGCGAACGGGAUUAGAUACCCCGGUAGUCCACGCCCUAAACUAUGAACACUAGGUGUUGGUGGCUUCGACCCCUCCAGUGCCGACGCUAACGCAUUAAGUGUUCCGCCUGGGUAGUACGAGCGCAAGCUUAAAACUCAAAGGAAUAGACGGGGACCCACACAAGCGGUGGAGCAUCUGGUUUAAUUCGACAAUAAGCGAGGAACCUUACCUAGACUUGACAUCCCGGGAAGAUCGCCGAAAGGUGAUUGUGCCGUUAGGAACCCGGUGACAGGUGCUGCAUGGUUGUCGUCAGCUCGUGCCUUGAGGUGUUCGGUUAAGUCCGUGAACGAGCGCAACCCUUGUCUCAAGUUGUAUAUUUCUUGAGAGACUGCCGGUUCUAAAUCGGAGGAAGGCAAGGACGACGUCAAAUCAGCAUGGCCCUUAUGUCUAGGGCGACACAGGUGCUACAAUGGCCGGUACAAUGGGCUGCUAAGGAGUAAUCUGGAGCUAAUCCCAAAAACCGGUCCAAGUUCGGAUUGAGGGCUGCAACUCGCCCUCAUGAAGUUGGAAUCGCUAGUAAACGCGUAUCAGCCAUGGCGCGUUGAAUAUGUUCCUGGGUCUUGUACUCACCGCCCGUCAAGUCACGAAAGAUGGGGGUGCCCGAAGUUCCCUUAGCUAAUUGAGCGGGGGCCUAAGGCAAAACCAUUGAUUGGGACUAAGUCGUAACAAGGUAUCCGUAGGAGAACCUGCGGCUGGAUCACCUCCUU
RNAcentral lists this ribosomal RNA (1573 nucleotides) under uncultured bacterium. RNAcentral's name for it is "bacterial SSU rRNA". It matches the Rfam family "Bacterial small subunit ribosomal RNA". The record is from RNAcentral.